Molecule: ribosomal RNA, 497 nt
Filed under: uncultured bacterium
Lineage: Bacteria
Description: partial 16S ribosomal RNA
Rfam family: Bacterial small subunit ribosomal RNA
Source: RNAcentral
GAUGAACGCUGGCGGCGUGCCUAAUACAUGCAAGUCGAGCGAACAGAUGAGGAGCUUGCUCCUCUGACGUUAGCGGCGGACGGGUGAGUAACACGUGGAUAACCUACCUAUAAGACUGGGAUAACUUCGGGAAACCGGAGCUAAUACCGGAUAAUAUAUUGAACCGCAUGGUUCAAUAGUGAAAGACGGUUUUGCUGUCACUUAUAGAUGGAUCCGCGCCGCAUUAGCUAGUUGGUAAGGUAACGGCUUACCAAGGCAACGAUGCGUAGCCGACCUGAGAGGGUGAUCGGCCACACUGGAACUGAGACACGGUCCAGACUCCUACGGGAGGCAGCAGUAGGGAAUCUUCGGCAAUGGGCGAAAGCCUGACGGAGCAACGCCGCGUGGGUGAUGAAGGUCUUCGGAUCGUAAAGCUCUGUUAUUAGGGAAGAACAAAUGUGUAAGUAACUAUGCACGUCUUGACGGUACCUAAUCAGAAAGCCACGGCUAACUACGUG